GAUGAACGCUUGCGGCGUGCUUAACACAUGCAAGUCGAGCGAAGCACCUUGACGGAUUUCUUCGGAUUGAAGCCUUGGUGACUGAGCGGCGGACGGGUGAGUAACGCGUGGGUAACCUGCCUCAUACAGGGGGAUAACAGUUGGAAACGGCUGCUAAUACCGCAUAAGCGCACAGUACCGCAUGGUACGGUGUGAAAAACUCCGGUGGUAUGAGAUGGACCCGCGUCUGAUUAGGUAGUUGGUGGGGUAACGGCCUACCAAGCCGACGAUCAGUAGCCGACCUGAGAGGGUGACCGGCCACAUUGGGACUGAGACACGGCCCAAACUCCUACGGGAGGCAGCAGUGGGGAAUAUUGCACAAUGGGGGAAACCCUGAUGCAGCGACGCCGCGUGAGCGAUGAAGUAUUUCGGUAUGUAAAGCUCUAUCAGCAGGGAAGAAAAUGACGGUACCUGACUAAGAAGCCCCGGCUAACUACGUGCCAGCAGCCGCGGUAAUACGUAGGGGGCAAGCGUUAUCCGGAUUUACUGGGUGUAAAGGGAGCGUAGACGGCAUGGCAAGCCAGAUGUGAAAGCCCGGGGCUCAACCCCGGGACUGCAUUUGGAACUGUCAGGCUAGAGUGUCGGAGAGGAAAGCGGAAUUCCUAGUGUAGCGGUGAAAUGCGUAGAUAUUAGGAGGAACACCAGUGGCGAAGGCGGCUUUCUGGACGGUGACUGACGUUGAGGCUCGAAAGCGUGGGGAGCAAACAAGAUUAGAUACCCUGGUAGUCCACGCCGUAGACGAUGAAUACUAGGUGUCGGGUGGCAAAGCCAUUCGGUGCCGCAGCAAACGCAAUAAGUAUUCCACCUGGGGAGUACGUUCGCAAGAAUGAAACUCAAAGGAAUUGACGGGGACCCGCACAAGCGGUGGAGCAUGUGGUUUAAUUCGAAGCAACGCGAAGAACCUUACCUGGUCUUGACAUCCCUCUGACCGCUCUUUAAUCGGAGCUUUCCUUCGGGACAGAGGAGACAGGUGGUGCAUGGUUGUCGUCAGCUCGUGUCGUGAGAUGUUGGGUUAAGUCCCGCAACGAGCGCAACCCCUAUCUUUAGUAGCCAGCAUUUCGGAUGGGCACUCUAGAGAGACUGCCAGGGAUAACCUGGAGGAAGGUGGGGAUGACGUCAAAUCAUCAUGCCCCUUAUGACCAGGGCUACACACGUGCUACAAUGGCGUAAACAAAGGGAAGCGAGCCCGCGAGGGGGAGCAAAUCCCAAAAAUAACGUCUCAGUUCGGAUUGUAGUCUGCAACUCGACUACAUGAAGCUGGAAUCGCUAGUAAUCGCGAAUCAGAAUGUCGCGGUGAAUACGUUCCCGGGUCUUGCACU
RNAcentral lists this ribosomal RNA (1358 nucleotides) under uncultured bacterium. RNAcentral's name for it is "bacterial SSU rRNA". It matches the Rfam family "Bacterial small subunit ribosomal RNA", at positions 28 to 1387 of the family's 1533-position model. The record is from RNAcentral.